CAUAAAACAAAUCACAUGUGCAUUUGAUCCAGUGAGAUUUCCACCAAUUCAGAACUUGUUCCCAAACUUUCGGAGGCAGCUCAUGGCAAUGAGCUCUCUGGGCUCCCCUUCCCCUCCAGCUGUGCCGUCAUGCUGAGUGGACCACAUCUAACGCUGCUGAUGGAGGGGCAGUUCCUGGAGCUGGGCUGUGGUUUGACUCUGUGGCUACAGAACCAGACAGCAUAUCAGAAUCCCUCCUCCCGACCUCAGAUGAUGAAACAAAGCUCAGGGAGUCGUGGGAACUGCCCCUGACACACAGCAAGCUGGCCACAGCACUCAGACACAGCUUCUGCCACGCUGCGGGGAUGAGAGGACCUUGUCAUGAAGCUCCAGUGUGAGGCAGAGCACACGUUCAAGGCCAGAGCUGGCUCUGAGAUCCCCCGAAUAAAAGGCUCAGUGUUGUUCUGGUUA
This is a long non-coding RNA of Manis pentadactyla (Chinese pangolin), 450 nucleotides long. RefSeq lists it as uncharacterized. The record is from RefSeq and is a predicted model, not a curated record. Lineage: Eukaryota; Metazoa; Chordata; Mammalia; Pholidota; Manidae. The transcript has 2 exons.